GUUGCAAGCCGGAAAGAGCAGUAAUUAUAGCCUACAAACUUUGGAUUCCAUGAUGGUCUCCCAUAAAGUUUAAAACAGAACUGAUCCUACUUCAUUUUCAGAGAUUGGACCAAGUAAGGUUGGUGGUGCCAGUCAACCGGUUUCACUAGGUUCAUCUUGCGAAUGUUGGCAUGCUCUCUAGGUAUCUGCCACUUAUCCCUAGUCCUUUGAAUUACAGGGAGAAGGAAACCAAAGAAGGAUGUUGAUCCAGUGCUACCUGGAAAAAAAACAUUGUACUUUCUGCUAUUCACUGCCUUCAUAAAGAACAAUCAAUAAGUGGAACAACUUGCCUGCAAAAAUUGAAUGCUCCAAUGCUGGAAAUUUUAAAGAAAAUGUUGGAUAGCCAUUUGUCUGAAAUGGUGUAGAGUUUCCUGCCUGGGCAGGGGGUUGGACUAGAAGACCUCCAAGGUCCCUUCCAACUCUGUUAUUAUGUAGGUAUGUUAUGUAUGUAAUCUAUAUGGAGAGCAUAAUAGGUCGAAUUAUCUGAACUGCAUUUUGAUUUUAAUAUUCAUUUCUCAUCCUUGUAUGACCCAUACUAUAUGACCCACCUUGUAUGACCCACAUGACCCACACUGCAACCAUUUCUAAACAAUAGAUAAAGUCAAUUUGAAUUUUAGAGAAACUCCAGAGCCCAUCACACCUCACAAGGAACAUUUCACAUUUAAAAGACCAUCAAUCUUUGUGGGGGGAAAUGUAAUUGUCUUGCUAAAGUUCCAUGUUUGCCCUGAAAUCAGAAGCCCUAAAUAGCAUGUCAACAGCAGAAUCCUAGCCCCUGUUUGCCACUAGAUUAACUGGAGAGAUGACAAGGGCAGUGAUUCAACUUCAGGUCCAUUAGACUCACUGUGAAAGGUUUCAUUCACUUACCAGCUGGCAGUGUGAAACACAAUCUAAAGAUGGGAACAAGCACUGUGUUGGAAGCCAAGCUGGUCUUCCUACCAUCUAACACCAAAGUGGCAAUUAAUUACAUAUGGAAUGUGGCCAGGCACUUCUGCAUUAUAAUCAAACGAGACCACACAGAGAAAAAGACAAUGCUUCAUCAUGUAUUUAGCAAUGGAGGAAAAAAGUGGUGUGUUUGUCUGUAUAUGUGUGUGUGUGUGUGUGUGUGUGCGUGCGUGCACACAUGCGUGCAUUCAGUAUUUUCACAAUUAUAAAAGAGAAAUAGGAAACCAGCUGGCAGGGCAUUUUUACAAUGAUUAAACAACAUGUUCAUAAGCUUCAGUGUAAUCCAUUCAAAAAUAAAUCUCACUGGGAGAAUAGAAUUACUUUUGUUUAAAAAUGCAGUCUAAGCUGCAAUGUUCAAUUUCCAAAGAAAUAAAUCUGAGAACAUUAAGAAAGAAAGAAAAACCUUGCAGGAUCAGCCGAAAGACCUAUCUAAUCCAGCGUUCUUCUCCAUAUAGUGGCUAGGAAGAUUAUGACAUGAGGUUGACCGACCACUGUAUGGUGAUAGUCCAUAUCAAUAUAUAUUUAACCAUAUUGAUCAUAUUUAAGACAUGCUGCUUUUGAUUCUGGACAUCAUAGGAUGCCAUGAAGGCCACCAGCCACAUAUCCUGAUCAAAACUAAUGUGUCCAGUUCCGCUUUAAAACCAUCCCAAAUUGUGGUAAUGAAUUCUAUAUUGUACACAUUGUAACUUUGUCACCUUCGACAGGAUCUGGGUUUAGCUCAUAGAAUCAUCCAUUGUAAUGUCCUUCCUGAGUACAAUAACACAAGAGCUACCAACAGAUUUAAACUUAAUGUCAACCGCUCCAGUUUAGAUUACAGAAAACACGAUUUCUGUAACAGAAUUAUCUAUGCUUGGAAUGCAUUACCUGACUCUGUGGUCUCUUCUCAUAACCCCAAAAGCUUUACUCAAAAUCUAUCCACUGUUGACCUCACCACAUUCCUAAGAGGACUCUAAGGGGCGUGCAUAAGAGCACAAACGUGCCUACCGUUCCUGUCCUAUUGUUUCCUCCC
Molecule: long non-coding RNA, 1990 nt
Organism: Ahaetulla prasina
Lineage: Eukaryota; Metazoa; Chordata; Lepidosauria; Squamata; Colubridae
Exons: 3
Source: RefSeq, a predicted model, not a curated record